UGCGUCAUAUGAAGCUUGAACAUGCAAAUCAGAAAGUGAUAACUGAUGAGGUAGUGGGAAGUUGUAAUGGCGGAGAGCCUUGGGAGUUCCGGGGGCUGUUGCCACUCUCCGCCCUCCCCACCGCCGAUGAUUCCUUUCAUCUCCUCUAAACAGCCCCUCACUCCUUCAAACACACACAAAUUUCAAACUUGUAUUAAUGUAUGUAUGUAUGAAUGUAUAUAUACGAAGUACUCCGUAUUUUUAUUAUACCAGCGGAAACAGCAGCAGCAGAAACACUUCAACGAACAAAUCAAAGCUGAGCUAUGAUUUUACUCAAAUUCGGAGUUUUUUCAAAAAAAUUUCUGUUGAGUUUCUCAGACAGAUUGAUGGGAAGGUAGCGAGAUACCGCGAAAAUUGCAGAAUUCUUGCAUUUUGCUUAUCUUACUCACCCUAAUUUCCUGCUCUGAUGAUAACCCAGAUUUUAAUUUUGUUCAUACUCCAAUUUGACAGUUUUGAGCUCAUUUCUUUGAUUUUUUCGAUUUUGGGAGAAUUGAGGAAGAAUUUUAUGAGUGUGAAAUUGCUGGGGUGUUUUGGGGGUCGUUGCCCAGUUUUCCACUCUCUUUCUUUCUCCUUUGAUUAUAUUAUAAACAUCGAAACGAACCUCCCCCAAAUUCCAAACCCUAAACCCUAACCCUAAUUUUUGGGGAUUUUUGCUGAAUCUUGAAAAUUGUUGCAGAGGCGAUGAUGUUGAGUUUUCCUAAAUUUUGAUUUUCAAAUUCAGGCAUUGGAGUUUGGAAGGCAUUGUUCAUACGUUUCGCGACUGUAAUCUCUCUUUCAUUUUCUCUCUCUAUAAUCCUCUAUAUAAUUAUGUGGCUACUGCUUGUUGUUGUUGUUAUUGUUGUUGUUGGGCAAUGGCUUUCAAUGUCUCUUCAUGCCUGAGACUAAAAAAAUAAAAAAAAACUGAGCCUCAAUAGUUAGAUGGUCAAUGAUGGAAAUGACAACAUAAUUUAUUUUGCUGAAAAUGGCAUCUGAAUUGCAUAACUAGUAUAACCUCGGCGAAAGAAUAUGAGUUUUUGGAUUGAGGAAACCUUUAAAUAGGGGGCUCUCCAAAUACAAUUUUCUCCUUGAGUGUACAAUGCUAUGCUAUGCAAUCCCGUGCUAUUUGAUUCAGAUAAAUAUUGUCAUUGUCUGAGCCCAAAUUUACGAACUAAAUGAAGGUGGUGAGGCAGUGGGUUUUAAGGGCUGAGAGCCUUUGGGAGUUAUGGGAGCUGUUGCCUCUCUCCACCCUUCCCUGCCAUUGAUUCUUUUCAACUUUCUCUUCUGAACAGCUCCCUUUCCACACCAAAAAUGUAUAUAGAAAGCAUAAAGAAAGAAAAAAAAAUAGUCACUCUUUCACAUAUGUAUGCAUUUGUCUGCAUCUGCAUUAUUAUUAUGUGUGUGGCAGCAGCAGCAAUAGCAGGAAAUUAAGAUGAAGAGAACGUAUAUGGUUAUUUUAAGAUGAAGAGAACAUAGCCUAAGGUUAUGUUCUCUUCACCUUAUUUUUGUUGAAUCGAAAUUAUUUUUACUGAAUUGAAAUUAUUUUUACUGAAUAUUAUUUUCUAAGAUGAAGAAAGUAAGACCUAAAUUGUUAGAUGGGUUGUGAUGCAAACGACACCAAGUUUCAGUGAUUGGUAGCAUUGGAAUUGUAUACUAGUAUUUUGUUGGGGAAGAAUGUGAACUUUGUUUAGGCGGAGGUAGUAUUUAUGUGUAUUAAGCUAUUGGAUUGAGGAAACCUUCCAUCCAAAGCUCGCCAAUUUUACUUUCACCCUAGAUUGUGCAAUGCUAUGCUAUGUAUGUCCAUGCCAUUUGUGAUAGAUCUAAUUGUCAUUGUCUGAGCCCAAAGUAUUGAACUGAAAUUGAUGGUUUGUUUAUUUUCUAUAUAAGUUGAACAGAAUAGGACCUAAUAGUUGGAUGGUCAAUGAUGGGAAUGACAACAAGUUUCUGCCAAAUUUUUUUGCUGAAAAUAGCAUUGAAUUGCAUAACUAGUAUGACCUGGGCGAAGAAUAUGAACUUUUGGAUGAAGGGAGUGUGUGUAUUGAAUUUUUGGACUGAGAAAACCUUUAUACAAGGGGCUCUCCAGUUUGAUUUCUCUCCUUUAGUGUAGCUAUGCUAUGCAAUCCCGUGCUAUGUUAUUCAGAUCAAAAUUGUCAUUGUCUGAGCCCAAAUUUGCGAACUACAUGAAGGUGAUGAGGCAGUGGGUUUUAAUGGCGAAGAGCCUUUGGGAGUUCUGGUAGCUGUUGCCUCUCUCCACUCUUCCCUGCCAGUGAUUCUUUUCAACUUUCUCUUCUAAACAGCUCCCUUUCUACACCAAAAAUGCAUAUAGAAAGCAUAAAGAAAGAAAAAAAAAAAACUCUUACUCUCUCCCACAUAUGUAUGCAUUUAUAUGCAUCCAUAUUGUGAGCAGUAGCAGUAGCAAUAAGAGGAAUACUAAGAUGAAAUAAAAGAAGAGCUAUGAUGAAACUACUUUGUCAAAUUUGGAAUUCUUGAAAAAAGUAAUGGACUAUUCUCAGUCAGAUUGAUGGGAAGAUAAGAGUGGGAAAGUGCAAGCAGAGGUAGCCACGUAAUCAUGUCCCUUUGCUCCGUGUUUCUUUUGGGCUGAUCUCAUUCACCCCAAUUCAGAAAUCUGAUCAUAACCUAUUGAUUUAAUUUUAUACAAACUCCAAUUUGAAAGUUUUUGAGCUUAGUUAUUUGGUAUGUUAAUUCUGGGAGAAAUGAGGAAGAUUUUGUUGGUGGAUAUUCCUGGGGUAUGGGUAGAUAGAUAGAUAGAUAGAUAGUUAGAUAUAGAUACAAAAUGCUGCUGUUGGGAACUUUGCUUUUCAUUUCCUCCUUUUGCCUGAUACUUAAAAUAAAAAGAACCCGAGCCUCUAUUUUACAUAUAAAUUGAAAAGCUUUUAAGCCUCUUGUAUAUGUUCUUCUGAUAAGCACAGAUACUACACUUGAUCUAUAUACACAAUCCCUUUUGGAUAAGGUUGAUUUUGAGGUGAACAACAAUUUUGUUAAAGCCUUAAUCCCAUUUGGAUGGAUUUUCAAUAUGACCCAACGUAUACAUCUCCUGUGGUUGUCAGCAAAGAUCCUCUUCUUCCACUCAUCUUUUAUAAAGUGCUAUUUAAAGUGAAAACUAGCAAAUAUUAUCACUUGCAAGCUUUCAAACAUGGCUUUUUUGUAUUUGCAUGGUGUUGGGCAAAGGUUUUGCUGUUGUUUCAUAAAGCUGAAGUUGAGGUUUAUGUGGAAUACAUAAGGCAAUGGUUACUUUGUUGUGUUGGAUACUUAUUUAUACCUUGUUUCAUCUCAUUUUUAUGUUCAGUUUCAACUCAUUAAUUUUUUUAGUUUGCUGAAUUUGAUGACCUUAAGGACUUGUGUGUUGUAAUUUUCACCUUUUUUUGGAUCAAAUGGCAUUUUUCUGUCCAGUGUUUUUGGUUGGUGAAAUAAUUAAUUUCUGGGCAUUUAUUACAUGAACAUAUUUGAUUGUAUGCAUUUAAACAAAUGUUGUGAAGUUUUGUGAAGUUUUCUGUACUUAUCUUAUCUUUUUAGAAUUUGUGAGAACUUGUUUGAACUUUUUGAAUAAUACUUCGUAUAAGUUAAUGUAAUGUUGUAUUGUGUGACCAGAAAUGGCCAUUGAUUGAUUUGUGAGGUUCCAAAUCUAUGUUUGGGUAUGCUUUUUUCACUUGAAUUUGUUUCAUUUGAACUUAUUGUAGUUGUGAUUGAAAGGGUAGUUGUAUCUGAACUUUUUUCUCCAGAAAUAAACUCUUUUAAGGUGAAUAUAACAUAGCCUACGUUGGAUGGGCAAUGAUGGAAAUGACACAGGUUUCUGAAAGUGGUAUUUGGAUUGCUUAAUGGGUAUCGCCUUGGGGAAUGCAUAUGAACUAUUGUACGGAGGGAGUAUAUAUGUUUAUUGAAUUAUUGGAUUGAGGAGACCUUUAAUCAGGGAGCUCUCCAAUUUAAUUUGCUUCUGUUGCUUUGCUUUGCAAUCCCAUGCUACUUUAGGUAGACUGAAUUUUGCAUUGUCUGAGUCCAUAGGUGCAAACUUAUGUGAAUCUUGUCUCACGAGGUUUUUUAAUAUUUUUUUUUUAAUCAAUUGAGAACAUAGUGGGAUGGGCAAUGAUGGAAAUGAUGACAUCAGCCAAUUUCUUUGCUUAAGAGUGGCCUCAGAAUUGCAUGUUGGUGGUACUUUUGGUGAGGAGAAUAGAGCUUUUGUUGGAUGGGCAAUGAUGGAAAUAAUGACAGGGUUUAACCAAAUUCUUUGCUGAAAUUGCAUUUGAAUUGCAUACUGGUAUUAUCCUGGGAAGAAUGGACUUUUGGAUGGUGGUAAUAUAUACUUUCUUCGUUUUCUUUUAGUUGACACAUUUUGAGUUUGUACACGAUUCAGAUAAGUUACUUUGACUUUAUUCUGUGUGAUCUAUUUUCAAGAAAAAAAUAAUCUUGGGGCAACUUUUUAGAUUUGUCUUGAUGUAUGUAUUCUAAAUUUUUUUUUUUUGCUUAUACAUCACUUUAGAUAUUACUUAUGAAAUUAUGUGUUGGCAAACAUGCUUAAAGGAAAUGUAUCAGCUAUAAUGAUGAAAUAGAGGAAGUAUGUGUUUUAAAUUAUUGGAUUGAGGAGGCUUUUAAAAUGGGAGCUCGCAAAUUUCAUAUGUUCCCCUUGUUUGUGCAAUGCCAUAGCUGGAGUGAGGACUAGGUAUCUUUACAAAGAUCUGCAAAAGACGAAAUUCUAUUAAUGUUGAGAGUUAUAUUUGAAUCUACAACAAUUCUGACCAGAACUUGUGUAGCGCCUUGAACCAGCUUGGCCAUGAGACUUGUGUCCGAAGUUGUACUUUUUUAAUCUCACAGAACAUUGUUAUGUUGCUAUGGAAUGGUACUGAGCUUGUGAAUAACUUUCUUCAUGAUGAUCAUUUAUAUCUGUGGUAUAACUGGUAUUAAUUCUCCGCUAUUUAUUCCAUAGGUAGAAUAUCAACUUUUGAUGGAGGGAGUUAUACAUAUGUAAUUAUGUAUAUCAAUAUUUUGAUGAUUAAUCUCUAGC
Molecule: long non-coding RNA, 5032 nt
Organism: Chenopodium quinoa (quinoa)
Lineage: Eukaryota; Viridiplantae; Streptophyta; Magnoliopsida; Caryophyllales; Amaranthaceae
Exons: 2
Source: RefSeq, a predicted model, not a curated record